AAAUUGAAGAGUUUGAUCAUGGCUCAGAUUGAACGCUGGCGGCAGGCCUAACACAUGCAAGUCGAGCGGUAGCACAGAGAGCUUGCUCUCGGGUGACGAGCGGCGGACGGGUGAGUAAUGUCUGGGAAACUGCCUGAUGGAGGGGGAUAACUACUGGAAACGGUGGCUAAUACCGCAUAAUGUCGCAAGACCAAAGUGGGGGACCUUCGGGCCUCAUGCCAUCAGAUGUGCCCAGAUGGGAUUAGCUAGUAGGUGGGGUAACGGCUCACCUAGGCGACGAUCCCUAGCUGGUCUGAGAGGAUGACCAG
RNAcentral lists this ribosomal RNA (308 nucleotides) under Klebsiella pneumoniae. RNAcentral's name for it is "bacterial SSU rRNA". It matches the Rfam family "Bacterial small subunit ribosomal RNA", at positions 1 to 307 of the family's 1533-position model. Lineage: Bacteria; Pseudomonadati; Pseudomonadota; Gammaproteobacteria; Enterobacterales; Enterobacteriaceae. The record is from RNAcentral.